RNAcentral lists this long non-coding RNA (2210 nucleotides) under Equus caballus (horse). RNAcentral describes it as "lncRNA (ENSECAG00000044880.1)". Lineage: Eukaryota; Metazoa; Chordata; Mammalia; Perissodactyla; Equidae. The record is from RNAcentral.
CACCUGCGUCUACUACCCUAGCCCCACCCUUAAGAUUCCUACCACCUUUAAAGGACCACCCCCACCAGGAUCCAAAAUUAAGGUCUACUCUUUCCUCCUCCCUCUAGCAGGAAGUCAUCUCCCCCUACUUCCUCUGUGUUCCUACAACAUUUCAUUUCACACCACUUUUUGCCAUGUGCCAUUACUAUAUUUUCACUUGUUUAUAUCUCCUAUGAAAGCGUGUUGCGUCACAGGGCUCAUCAUUGUAACUCCAAUGCCCAGAACAGAGCCUUGUCACUGAUUAAGUGGACAAAAGCAAAAAAAAAAAAAAACGUGGCUGCAUGAUUUCCAUACUCAGGAGGCAGGUUUUGAGAAAAUCCUCAUUUGCAGCUAGCAAAUCUGGGAAGACUGCCUGGAGGAAGCUGUGGGUCUGGAAUCAGGAGAAACUUCUGAGUUUCCUCACUGCUUUCAGUUCUUCUCAUCCCUUUGGUCUCUGAUGUCUAAAAGGUGUUGAAAGCACUUUGGUAGAAAUCAGUAGUUUGUCAAGCUUGGUUACGGCUGUUUUUGGCAAAAAGAAGGGGAAAGAAGUGUGCACAGACUGGUGUGGUAACAAUUUAAGUUUUAUCCACAUAAGAUGUGGGAGACUGCUUGAAGUGACACAUUUCUGGCAGCUGAUUGUCCCUGAAAAAGAUAAAAGGAAGGAUGAGAAGAGAGCAUUUUGCAGGAGCUCUCGCCACUUCAGAAUCAAGCCACUUUUGUUUCUAAUUCUCAGAGAAGAGAAGGGAUGGGAGUAGCGAUUUUCUAAAGAGCGUCUUCCGUGUUUUCCAGCCUCGUAACCAGCCCACAGAGCAGACAAACCCAUUGAAGAGUGAGAAGCGCUGGAAGCCUCAGCCCACAGAGGAAUUCAAAUUUGUCACUGUGUCUUUUAAAGAGACUUUUAGCAUGACACAUGUUUUCUUUUCGAUGACCUUUGAUUCUCCUUCCAAGACAUAACGACUGACUCUUUGAAGAAACUCUCCCCUGCCAGGCGAUCUAAUCCAGAGGAAGAGACCCAAGACAGAGGAAUAAAAGAGCAAGAUAAAGUCUUUAAGUAAAAGAAACAUUUCUGGCCUCAGAUUCUAGUCCCGGCUUGCCUGUGACCCACCUCAUGACCGUGGGCAAGUAGCUUCAACGUCUUACGUUUCCCAGCAGUGAGUUCAUCAUUUCCUCCCCUCUGCUCCCAGAAUAUUUUCGACACCAUCUCCUCAUUGAAAUGUUAUGUGUAUUGCUUGUCUGUAAGCUACGUCCUCAGAGAUCCGCUCCCUGACCCUCCUAUGUAGAGUGGCUUCUCCCUCAUAUGCUCUGUCUCUGCCCCUCACUGGUCACCUUCAUAACCCUGGUCCCAGUUGGUCAUUAUUGUCUCUAUUUCUCUGCUUCGGUGGUAGAGUUUCUGGCUGUCUCCCCAACUGGGAUGCCAGCCUUGCAAGGGCAGCGUUCCAGCCUCUUUUGUUCACCAGCCCUGUGCCUCAGUGAAGUCAGGUCUCAGAGAUUGAUGGGGCACGUGUUGACUCCUCCAGGGGAUUCGAACUCCUCUUUUAGUCCAGGUUCUGGCACAGAGUUGGUCGUGUUGACAAAAGGAACAUGUCUCCACCCCUCACCUCACAUGUCAGCCUUGGCCCAUGAGAGAGGAAGCGCCUACUUCCAUCCUGGACUCAGGGUCUCUACCCCGUAUCACUUUCUCCCCAGAGGAGAAGGGAUUGUUCAAAUGAUUGGGUGGGCCCUGACAGUUCUGGCCCCUGAGUUGAGUGGACAAGGACACUCCACGGAAAGGUGCCAUGUAGCUAUGAAUACAGUCGAUUCUGCUUCCUGAGCAUGAGGAAGGACACGACUCCUGCCCCUUCUCUCAGCCUCUGGGCUCAAGUGUGGUGGACUGUUGCCCACUGCCUGCCUACCUACAAGAAGCAUCUUCUGGGGAGACUUCCGCCAGCCAUUCUUCCAUGUGACUUGUGACGGGAUGAGGUCAAGCCAGCCUCAUUUGUGUGAUUGUUUGGAUAAGUGAACUUGGGGUCAGCUUCACCAACCCAGACUUCUCACUUUGCAGACCUGAUUUCAUGAGCUGAAAUCUAGAUCUAGAAUGCGAGUCGGGCGUGCUGAAGUCUAGGCAAUACAGUCUUACUCAUGCAGUGGAGUAUUCUGUGCUUUCCCAGGCUUAAUAAAAUUGAAAUUUUAUUUUCUGUUUUGUUAUAGAUUUG